UGCUGGCACCACUCCGGGCCUACUUCCCGCAA
RNAcentral lists this non-coding RNA (32 nucleotides) under Homo sapiens (human). Lineage: Eukaryota; Metazoa; Chordata; Mammalia; Primates; Hominidae. The record is from RNAcentral.